GAUGAACGCUGGCGGCGUGCCUAAUACAUGCAAGUCGAGCGAACAGACGAGGAGCUUGCUUCUCUGACGUUAGCGGCGGACGGGUGAGUAACACGUGGAUAACCUACCUAUAAGACUGGGAUAACUUCGGGAAACCGGAGCUAAUACCGGAUAAUAUAUUGAACCGCAUGGUUCAAUAGUGAAAGACGGUUUUGCUGUCACUUAUAGAUGGAUCCGCGCCGCAUUAGCUAGUUGGUAAGGUAACGGCUUACCAAGGCAACGAUGCGUAGCCGACCUGAGAGGGUGAUCGGCCACACUGGAACUGAGACACGGUCCAGACUCCUACGGGAGGCAGCAGUAGGGAAUCUUCCGCAAUGGGCGAAAGCCUGACGGAGCAACGCCGCGUGAGUGAUGAAGGUCUUCGGAUCGUAAAACUCUGUUAUUAGGGAAGAACAAAUGUGUAAGUAACUAUGCACGUCUUGACGGUACCUAAUCAGAAAGCCACGGCUAACUACGUG
RNAcentral lists this ribosomal RNA (497 nucleotides) under uncultured bacterium. RNAcentral describes it as "partial 16S ribosomal RNA". It matches the Rfam family "Bacterial small subunit ribosomal RNA", at positions 28 to 507 of the family's 1533-position model. The record is from RNAcentral.